This is a non-coding RNA of Paramisgurnus dabryanus, 2448 nucleotides long. The record is from RefSeq and is a predicted model, not a curated record. Lineage: Eukaryota; Metazoa; Chordata; Actinopteri; Cypriniformes; Cobitidae.
AUCUCGCCAGAAUAAUGUAAAACUGAUACGUUUAGGUUGCUAUGGUCGCUGCCAGGGCUCGUCACAUGACGUCUUCUACAGACUAUAAUAAAUAAGAAUAAAUAGGAAGAGGCAACAAUAAAUGAUCUAUGCCAGCGCAAGUCAAUAUUUAUCUGGCCAGUCAACUGGUUUUUAAUUUAAAAAAUCCCUCGCAGUCUGAACUGCAACAGCACGGUCUGCGGUGAGUUAAACAACGUUCAACUGCAGGAUCAAUAGCAUUCAGCGGUGAGUUUAACAACCCUCAAAUGCGGUUAAAACAACAUUCAGAGGGAAGCUUUAUUUAAACCGCGUUCAACUGCAGAUAAAACAACAUUCAGAGGUGACUUUAACAACGCUCCACGGCGCGUGGGAGUAGCAUUUUAAGCGUUUUCUGAUCAUGUAGGUAAGUGCUUUGAUUAACUUUAGACGUGAUGCAUGCUGGGUGGCAAAUAUUUUUUAUCAAAGGCUCGUUGAUGGUAAUAAAUAUACAUAUAAAUAUACAUUUUACUAUAAUACGAUUGUUUUCGAUUAAUUAAUGGGUUGUUUAAUUAUUAAUUUGUUUAUUUUAAAUCCUGUAAUUUAACAACUCUGACGUCAUCGAAUGCGACGAUGCCAAGGUCCAUUGCGAUUUCCACUCGGUCCUUCAACUCUUUAUACCCCCAUCACAAACACACACACACACACACACACACACACACACACACACACACACACACACACACACACACACACACACACACUCACACACACACACACACACACACACACACACACACACACACACACACACACACACACACACACACACACACACACACACACACACACACACACACACACACACACACACACACACACACACACACACACACACACACACACACACACACACUUUCUUGGUAAUCUGUAAGAAGAGGAGGCAGCAGCACCAGAGAAGACACCUGAGCCGAGGGUGCAUUGGAGACAAAGAGACACUGAUGUAAAUAUUGUCUAUGCAAGGCCAAGGUCAUGCAGGAAUCAACCAAAGAAAGCUGAUCACAUUCAGAACACUGAUCCUCCCAAUGCUCCUGACACUCAUUGUGAGGUGGCCUUUGCUCCAGAGACUGUUGAGUGCAUUCACUGAACGAUUUCUCAGGUGACGAGGCAUCACCUCCUGGAACCCCAAGAGAUCUUCUUCUGGCUUCCUCAAACUGGAGAACACGUCAAAGUCUCUUCAGAGAGGUGGAGGGCAUGUGGUAGCACACAUCUGCCUAAGGAAUGUGCAGUGGGAGACUUAAACAGAAGUGGGUACUGGCCUGCAACCCUUCAAUUCACCACAAUUUAUGCCAUAGAUAUCUUGUUUUCAUUUCAAGAAAUGAAGAUGGCGGCACCAGGACUGUCCUGUCAAGCAUUUUUUAAGAAUGCUGGAUCAGCGAACUGUCUGCUUUGGUCGUACUGGCAAGAUCUCAGCAGACAGUUUUCAGAAAAGUUUUUUGAGUGGGAGGCUGUGCGAUUCAAGGUGGACAAUAUAUGCAAGGAAGAGCCUUUCACCUGCCCUGCAUGCACCCCAGAGAUUAUCAUUUCAAGAAUACUGCUAGAUCUGAGGAACCGGCCAUCUUUGAAGGUGUCUUUAUAGCCAAGGAUAAAGAUGUUACCAGAUUUCUGGACUACAUUCACAACACAACCACAACGAAAAGCUUGCCAGAAAACAGGAUGUAACCUGUGAAAUGGAGUGAGGCAAAUGCAGGAUGUUGCUGUAUUAACACUAGGAGAGGAGGUGGGACAGUGCAGUACCUUCCUCUCUAGGAUUGCAGUGACUACAAAACAAUUGUGAAAAGCAGGACGCGCAGACAAUCUGCCUCUCAUGGCCAUGCGCUGGAAUCAGCAAAAGUUUAACAAUUUAGCCAUCUUAAUUACUCGUCGAUAUCAGAAGACCAAAAAGCUCUGGAAAGCCAGUUAGAAAACCUAGAGUCCAUGAAAGCCCAAUUGGCAGUGACAGAAAGCUAAUUUGAAGGCUAGACUCUGUACAUCUAAGUCAGUUUGGAGACUUCAGGAGGAGCAGAAGAUGCUUGUUGCAGAGAUGGACCAUCAUUGGAAAUCUCUAAGCUUGUGCUGAUGCCAUCAGAGAGCUGUCCUGCUUGUUUUCUAAUGAGACAAUGAAAAAUUCACCAUGUGGCCUAAGUGAAGAGGGUCUAAAAUGUCUGCUGAGCACCAUUCUCAGAGAGCAACAUAAAAUCAGAAAAAUUUGCAAGCAAGAGACUGUUACCUACAAGUUUUGUCUGGAGCAGAGAACAUCAACUUCUUGUACAGUGCUUCACCUGAUGAGUACGACAGUGACUUUGACAUUUCUGAUGAUGGUCUGUAAUCCACAAGACUGUCACCUUCCAUCAUUCUGGACAAAGACUUCUAACUGUCAAUAUAAAGCAUUUAAUAAAAUCUACUUUUCAUAAA